CUUCAGCUAAGACUGAAAGAUAAAUCCUUGGUUUGAAAGAUAAAUGCCUUCAGCAGGCAUUGCCUUGGGCAUCAGAUCUUGGCAUCCUUGAGUCUAUAUACUGGGUCAUGGCUGGUCAGCAAUGAGGGAAGGUUAAAGACUCUGGAAGUCCGUUUUGGAUCUGUCAAAAAAUUUUAUUCGGAUUGGAAAUACUUUGAAGUUGUUCAUGGGACAAGAAAAUCACUUCCUAUACAGUCUUAAUUCCUGCUGCCAUGGGGUGCUAGGGCACCUGUAGUUGUCACCCAUGUGCAUAGAAGGAAGCAAUGGCCAUGAUCUUUGAGGGUGAUCAGCCCGUCUUCGAAUACUUGCAAGUGACCCUCAUCUUCACAAAUAAUGAAAUAAAAGCCUC
This is a long non-coding RNA of Gymnogyps californianus (California condor), 388 nucleotides long. RefSeq lists it as uncharacterized. The record is from RefSeq and is a predicted model, not a curated record. Lineage: Eukaryota; Metazoa; Chordata; Aves; Accipitriformes; Cathartidae. The transcript has 4 exons.